CCCUUUCCUUGCUCUAUCGUGGUAGUCUUGGAAGCUUGGUUGUAUACCAAAUCGAGUGGCAUGCCCAGCACCGAAGCUUUGAAGAAGAUGCUCUCGGAGGCCAGCUCUGAGCAAGGAGGGGACGGGCUUUCAAGCCGCGGAUCUUGAGCCGCCUACCGGCUAGGUCGCAUCUUGCAGAUUCUGAUCUGGUGAGGCAGGCCACGGGAGAAUCUGAGAGAUAGCUUGUUGUUAGCUCUACUCUCCUACUCAUCGUGCCAGGAAUGAGAGAUUUGUUGUCAGGUUGGAUGACCAUCUUCUCUGUCGUCGUUGAGGUGGAGCAGUAUGGGCCGAGAGUCUGCAGGUUGAGGCGAGCUAUGGGCUUCCUCAUUGCUGGUGCUGUCAGCUUCCACCUAUGUAAUGUGCUACGGCUUUAAAUCAUUCCUAGUUCCUCCAUAGUGGCUGAUUGUUCACAUGUAUUUUUAUUUCUUGUUACCAUAUAUUAGCAAGUUAUAUUACUUGUAUGUGUAUUAAGACAAAGCAGGACAGCUUACAUGUACUAACUGAAAUGUUGGUUCAUGUAAUUGAUUUUACCAAGAAUAUAAAACUCACAAAAGUGCAUGUCUGAAUGUAUUUAAAUAAUUACAAUAUGGCAUGCUUCUGAUA
Aegilops tauschii subsp. strangulata is the source of this 642-nucleotide non-coding RNA. The record is from RefSeq and is a predicted model, not a curated record. NCBI's taxonomy places the organism in Eukaryota, Viridiplantae, Streptophyta, Magnoliopsida, Poales, Poaceae.